UUUUUUUUAUUUUCUAUUUGGUAGGAAAACCAUUUAUGAAUGAUUUAUAUGAUGCAUGUUAGAAUGCAAAUGGGUAAUUGGAUAUUUUUUUGUAGGAUUUUAUUUUUUUGAGAUUAUAUCAUCAUUAAAGGGUUGAUGGAAGAUAGUGAAUGUCGAUAUCAAAGGGUUAAUGGACAGGUAAAUAUCAUCGUCAAAGGGUUGACAGAAAAGAUUAUCAUCAUCAGAGGGCUGAUGGAAAGGUGACUAUCAUCG
This 252-nucleotide long non-coding RNA is filed under the name Lathyrus oleraceus (garden pea). Its description in RNAcentral is "Pisum sativum (pea) long non-coding RNA (PSAT_LNC011650)". The record is from RNAcentral. Lineage: Eukaryota; Viridiplantae; Streptophyta; Magnoliopsida; Fabales; Fabaceae.